AUUGAACGCUGGCGGUAUGCUUAACACAUGCAAGUCGAACGGUAACAGGAGCUAGCUUGCUAGCUUGCUGACGAGUGGCGGACGGGUGAGUAACGCGUAGGAAUUUGCCUUAAGGCGGGGGAUAACUCGGGGAAACCCGAGCUAAUACCGCAUAUGCUCUACGGAGUAAAGGAUGGGAUCUUCGGACCAUUCACCUUAAGAGAAGCCUGCGUAGGAUUAGCUAGUUGGUGAGGUAAAGGCUCACCAAGGCGACGAUCUUUAGCUGGUCUGAGAGGACGAACAGCCCCACUGGGACUGAGACACGGGCCAGACUCCUACGGGAGGCAGCAGUGGGGAAUAUUGGACAAUGGGGGCAACCCUGAUCCAGCAAUACCGCGUGUGGGAAGAAGGCCUUCGGGUUGUAAAGCACUUUCAGUUGGGAGGAAGGUGGAAUGUCGAAUAGGCAUUUCAAUUGACGUUACCGACAGAAGAAGCAUCGGCUAACUCUGUGCCAGCAGCCGCGGUAA
Molecule: ribosomal RNA, 506 nt
Filed under: uncultured bacterium
Lineage: Bacteria
Description: partial 16S ribosomal RNA
Rfam family: Bacterial small subunit ribosomal RNA
Source: RNAcentral